Molecule: ribosomal RNA, 460 nt
Filed under: uncultured bacterium
Lineage: Bacteria
Description: bacterial SSU rRNA
Rfam family: Bacterial small subunit ribosomal RNA
Source: RNAcentral
AUUGAACGCUGGCGGCAUGCCUAACACAUGCAAGUCGAACGAGACCUUCGGGUCUAGUGGCGCACGGGUGCGUAACGCGUGGGAAUCUGCCCUUAGGUUCGGAAUAACUUCGGGAAACUGAAGCUAAUACCGGAUGAUGACGUAAGUCCAAAGAUUUAUCGCCCAAGGAUGAGCCCGCGUAGGAUUAGCUAGUUGGUGAGGUAAAGGCUCACCAAGGCGACGAUCCAUAGCUGGUCUGAGAGGAUGAUCAGCCACACUGGGACUGAGACACGGCCCAGACUCCUACGGGAGGCAGCAGUGGGGAAUAUUGGACAAUGGGCGAAAGCCUGAUCCAGCAAUGCCGCGUGAGUGAUGAAGGCCUUAGGGUUGUAAAGCUCUUUUACCCGGGAUGAUAAUGACAGUACCGGGAGAAUAAGCUCCGGCUAACUCCGUGCCAGCAGCCGCGGUAAAGUGACUACUG